RNAcentral lists this long non-coding RNA (429 nucleotides) under Nicotiana benthamiana. RNAcentral describes it as "long non-coding RNA (NBEN_LNC010236)". Lineage: Eukaryota; Viridiplantae; Streptophyta; Magnoliopsida; Solanales; Solanaceae. The record is from RNAcentral.
GGGGAUCGAACCCAGAAUCUCUGGUUCAGGGUUCAAGAAUUCGAGCUUGUUUUAUGAUUUUUACUUAGCUUUAUUUACUGUUAAUAUUAAUGUACACUGUGAACCUUUUUGUGCUAAAUGCUAUCUGUUUACCGCUUUAAUAUUGUUGAAUUAUAUAUAAUUGUCCCCUGUGAGUCUUCUAAAAAUGGUGCAUAUGUUCGCCUAGCCCGCUUUUUCUGUAGAAAUUAUACCAAAUAGAGCGGGGUUGGGCAAGCGACAAGGUCGGGCAGACUUUAGUGCUCCCGGUACGUCGCCCCCUCCUCGACCCCAGUUGUUCGCUCGGGUACCCCAAGUCUAGACCAAAAACCUCAGGAUUUAAACCUAGAAAAAACACAACUUUAUGCUGGAUACCUAGUAGGAACGUUUGUUUGCAUCAUGUGCAUUUGAAUU